RNAcentral lists this ribosomal RNA (253 nucleotides) under uncultured bacterium. Its description in RNAcentral is "partial 16S ribosomal RNA". It matches the Rfam family "Bacterial small subunit ribosomal RNA", at positions 524 to 776 of the family's 1533-position model. The record is from RNAcentral.
UACGUAGGUGGCAAGCGUUGUCCGGAAUUAUUGGGCGUAAAGCGCGCGCAGGUGGCUUCUUAAGUCUGAUGUGAAAGCCCACGGCUCAACCGUGGAGGGUCAUUGGAAACUGGGGAACUUGAGUGCAGAAGAGGAAAGUGGAAUUCCAAGUGUAGCGGUGAAAUGCGUAGAGAUUUGGAGGAACACCAGUGGCGAAGGCGACUUUCUGGUCUGUAACUGACACUGAGGCGCGAAAGCGUGGGGAGCGAACAGG